Molecule: ribosomal RNA, 755 nt
Filed under: Cryptostemma sp. CW-2013a
Lineage: Eukaryota; Metazoa; Arthropoda; Insecta; Hemiptera; Dipsocoridae
Description: bacterial SSU rRNA
Rfam family: Eukaryotic small subunit ribosomal RNA
Source: RNAcentral
GAUACGGGACUCAUCCGAGGCCCCGUAAUCGGAAUGAGAACAAUAUAAAUUCUUUAACGAGUAUCUAUUGGAGGGCAAGUCUGGUGCCAGCAGCCGCGGUAAUUCCAGCUCCAAUAGCGUAUAUUAAAUUUGUUGCGGUUAAAAAGCUCGUAAUUGGUUCUGUGUGCCACGCUGUUGGUUUACCGCCUGUCGGUGUAACUGACAUGUCGUGGGACGUCCUGUCGGUGUUAACUGCAACCCAUGUUUUGUUCCAAGACUUAGGUCAAAGACAAAAUUUGGGACCAAUUGUGGUUACCGAUUUAUUGCCAUCUCGGUGCUCUUUAUUGAGUGUCGAGGUGGGCCGACAUAUUUACUUUGAACAAAUUAAAGUGCUUAAAGCAGGCUGAAUUUUGCCUGAAUAAUAAUGCAUGGAAUAAUAUAAUAGGACCUUGGUUCUAUUUUGUUGGUUUUAAGAAUGCAAGGUAAUGAUCAAUAUGGACGGUCGGGGGCAUUCGUAUUGCGGCGUUAGAGGUGAAAUUCUUGGAUCGUCGCAAGACGAACUAGAGCGAAAGCAUUUGCCAAGUACGUCUUAAUUGAUCAAGAACGAAAGUUAGAGGUUCGAAGGCGAUCAGAUACCGCCCUAGUUCUAACCAUAAACGAUGUCAACUAGCAAUCCGCCGGGUUCCUUAGAUGACCCGCGCGGGCGACCCCCGGGAAACCAAAGUUUUUGGUUUCCGGGGGAAGUAUGGUUGCAAAGCUGAAACUUAAAGGAAUGA